AAUCAACGCUGGCGGCGCGCUUAACACAUGCAAGUCGCACGAGAAAGGGAGCAAUCCUAAGUAAAGUGGCGUACGGGUGAGUAACACGUGGAUCAUCUACCUUCUGGUGGGGAAUACCCCGGGAAACUGGGGACAAUUCCGCAUAAGUCCGAGAGGAGAAAGCAGCAAUGCGCCGGAAGAGGAGUCCGCGGCUGAUUAGCUUGUUGGCGGGGUAAUGGCCCACCAAGGCGAAGAUCGGUAGCCGGCCUGAGAGGGCACACGGCCACACUG
Molecule: ribosomal RNA, 270 nt
Filed under: uncultured bacterium
Lineage: Bacteria
Description: partial 16S ribosomal RNA
Rfam family: Bacterial small subunit ribosomal RNA
Source: RNAcentral